GGUGAUUCUCGGGUGACACACCUCAGAAUUGGGCUCCCUCCUCUCUGGUUCUGGGUGUGUCACCUGAGAACCAGA
Non-coding RNA from Myotis brandtii (Brandt's bat), 75 nucleotides. NCBI's taxonomy places the organism in Eukaryota, Metazoa, Chordata, Mammalia, Chiroptera, Vespertilionidae. The record is from Rfam.